CAGGAAACGCGACACAAGAUACAAGAGCGCCGCUCGCAAACGCAGUCUUGACAGGUUCGCCCUGGCUUUUCCAUUACGUCAACAGCACAGCAGCAUCCCGAAAGCCGCGCUUCCAUUGGUUGUCUGCUUCGGCAGCUACGCAGCCAUUGGUCGGACCUGUAACUGUCCGAGCUACAUGUUGCAGCGAGUGAUGCCAUUUUGUUUUAGGAACAGGAGAAGAGAAAGGAGACGUUGAGGCGCCCCAUUUUGCUCUGCUACUUGCGCUGUUUCAGUGUCGCUAUUAUUUCCUGCUUCACUUCUACAUCGUACCGUACACCGUACCCAUCUGCGCAGCCAGCGGCCGAGGGAAACUAUCCAUCGCUUGUGCCGGGGAAGUCGAUUUGCGGCUUCUGGGAGCGCUGCACUCCGCGGUGGAUGGAUGUUCGGCUUGCCUCGUUGGCUCAUGAAAACCUCGGAGCCCGAGCAGCCGAGACGAGCAGAGAGAAGCGGAGCGGGAGCGACGAGGACCUGGAGCCGCGCCGGACUGCGGCGCCCGAGAGCGAGGCCAGCUGACACUCUCCUGACAACAAAGAGGUG
RNAcentral lists this long non-coding RNA (576 nucleotides) under Scleropages formosus (Asian bonytongue). RNAcentral's name for it is "lncRNA (ENSSFOG00015025970.1)". The record is from RNAcentral. Lineage: Eukaryota; Metazoa; Chordata; Actinopteri; Osteoglossiformes; Osteoglossidae.